RNAcentral lists this long non-coding RNA (5269 nucleotides) under Cinara cedri. Lineage: Eukaryota; Metazoa; Arthropoda; Insecta; Hemiptera; Aphididae. The record is from RNAcentral.
GUAGAAAUGGAGUUCGCUGGAUUUCCUAUAAGGAAGCCAACAAGUAAAUUAUAUCACAAAAUCGUAUUUAUUUUAAAGGACCCAGAGCCAAUUUUUUAAACUUUAUUCAAUUUUGAAAAAGUUAAAAAUUAUUUUUAAUGUUUAAAUUACCAUUUUAAGGGUAGUAUUUUCACACUGAUCUACUACCCGAUACUAAUUUAUAGGGAGGGGUGGUAACUUUUUACUGACAAAAAUAACUUUAUAGAAAUAGUGAUAAUUCAUUGUCAGUGUAAUAUUUUCAUAAACCCCUUUUUUUUUUUUUUUUGUUAAACAAAUUAUUAUACAACAGUAUUCUACAGGCCACAUUAAACUCCGAUUUCAAAUAAUGAGGGGAAAAAAAUGGUUAAAAAAAGCUUAAAAUUUACUUUUUUAAAAGACUCAUUAUAAAUGUUGAGAAUAAAAUAUUGAAACAUGUAAUUUAAUGCGGUUUUUAGAAUGUUUUAAUCUAAUAAUUUCAAAAAAAAAUUUGUAGUUGAUUCUACUGAAUACUACCACUAUUUCUGUAAAGUUUAUUUUUGUGAACAAGACAUUGGCCCUGGGUGCCUUAACGUAAAUGGUUUACUUAGCGUUUGCAGAACUAUAUACCUAAUUUAUAUAGAUUUUUUAUCUGAAUAUAAUAAUAUUAUAAUAAAUGCAUCUACCCCUCACAUCCAUUUACAUAUGUAAUAACAUAAUGUAUACUAUUUUACUGUUGGUUUUAUUAUUAUUAUAGAUUUAAAGAUGUGCUAUAGGUUAAAUAUAUCUUUACCUUAAUAUUAUGAAAAUUAAAUCUAUACAAUUAUUUUAUAUUAUGUUGUUUGCCGUUUAGAAUUCUUUGGGAUAAAAAAAGGGAAAAGCAAUUCCACCCUUCUUAAGGAAAUGAAUAAAGGUAUGUAGAUUUCUAAGUGUAUAUAAAUAUAUUGAUAUUAUAUCUCUGGAAACUGGAAAAAAGGACCUAAGCCAAUUUUUGCUAUUUUGUAUUUCAUAUAGUUUUGUCAUAAAAAGGUUACAAGGAAAAAAAAAUCAGAAAAAGUAACUUUUUAGUGAACAUAGACGCUUUGCAUGUUAUAUUUUAAUGUGAUUGUUAUUAAUUUAUCAUGCGUUUCAAACAAAAUUCAAUUCUGUUAACUAUAUUUCAAAAUUCAAAAUUUAACUUAAUUCAAACUAUUCUCUAAAAAAAAAAUAUUGUCAAGAAAAAUUGUGUACAUUUAUGGUGAUUAGUUUAUCACGAAACAUAGAUUAACUAGGAAGAUAAAAUAGAUUGUGAGCUAUGGUGAGAUUUAUCAGUGUUUAUGAAAGUACAUUUACUGUGUUUAUACAGACAUAAUAAUAUUUAUAGAUGAUUAGUAUCAUUAGAAAACAACUACUUGUAUAAUUAAUGACUAUUAUAGAGUACUCUUAACCUAACCUAAACUUUUUGCAUUUUAUAAUGUUUUUCUAACACUUAAUCAAUACCUUUUCUUUAAGUAUAUUUACUCAAUCCAAUUUAACCAAACCCAACCCGUCAUUUAUGUUUAUACGAUAACAGUAACCUAAUAAAGGUGUUUGCAAUUUCAUUUUUGUCACCAAUCGCCUUGCAAAUAAUUAUACUAGAAAAUCACUGAAAUCAAUGUAAUGUUCAGGACGUUUUGUUCUUAACAAUUGACAGUUACUUCGUUUAAUCCAUACCAUAUUGCAACUGUUAUAGUAUUAUAAUAUUUAAGAUUAUGACCUCUGAGUAUGAAAUAUUUUACUUGAAUUAUCACACUGAUUGAAAUAUUGAAACAUUUAUUACGUAUACCUCUCAUAUAUUAAGUGUACACAUUUGUCAAUACCUAUACUUCUUUAUAUUUUACUCCUUAUAUUUUAAGAAACAAUCUUCUCGUGAACUUCAAGCCGAUCACUAAGAGAUAAGUGACAAUUAUUAUAUUAUUGUGAUGGGAAAUUAAUUAAAGAAAACAUACGUAGGGAUUUAAUAAGGUUUUUACGGUAGGUAAUAGUCCACCAUUAGCCUAACCUGAUGGUUGGUAUGAUACAUAUUUACAUAGACAUAACUUACAUUCAGUCACUAUUAAUAUGAUACAAUAAAAAACCAUUUUUACACACACUAUAACAAUUGUACAACAUAUUACGUCAGGAGUCUAUUCAGUAUCAUACCCGAUUCAUUGCGCAUUGUGUUAAGGCUGCUGUCGACCAGCAUUUCGGUAGAUGCACGUGUUGCACAUCUUAUUUACAAAUUAUAUUUUGUCUUACACCCAACAUAUUAUUAUAUUAUACUUAAUUCAGUCAAAUAAGACUAAAAAAGGGGCAAUUUUGUAAUCUAAAUCAUAAAAAGCUACGAGCUGGAUCGUUCAAUAUCUUAAGUAGUUAUCUACCGUAGUAUCUAUUAGUUUUCAAUUUAUGAUUAUUUGUUUCUUUUUCAAAAUGAAAUAUUUCAAAAAAAAAAAUCGUAUGAACUUUAAGAACAUUAAUUAUAUUAUUUACAAUAUAUUUUUCUAAUUUACAGAAACAUUAAUGAUAAACAAUUAUACCGGUAAGCCAAAUUGAGCCAAUUAUCAUACUGUUUUUGCACAUACUUAUUAUUGACCAAAAUGUAUAUUUCAAAUACACGUAAAUAGAACAUAAUAUUAUUUAUAAUACAACUAUUCUUAAUACUGAUACUAUUUUAAAUAAUACUAAUGAUAAUAAAAUAGUCAAUCAAACAGAAUGUGUCUACAAAAACUUUGUACUUUUAUUUUUUACUCAUUUAUUGAAAAAUAAACUUCUCCAUUAAUUAAGUUGUAUAAAUAUAGUUUUAUGCUUAAAAGUGUCCGAAAAAGUAUAAUAGGGUUACUUUAUUACGUAUAUGAUAACACGAUUAAACGUAUGUAUAAAAUAUCGUGUUAUGUAUGAUUAAUAUGUAAGAGAUAAGAUAACCAUUCAGAAUAGUAACGUGAAUGAUGAUACAAAUGAGAAUUAGAUAAUCGUGAUUAGAAUGAUAAUACGGUGAGAGGAGACGCUAGCCGUGGUAUAAAUAUAACACCAGUUUGGGCGACCGUAUCAUAGGUUUAGCACCUGAGUUAGAACUGUCCUUUUCAAUCUACUAACAAUGGCUGAGCGUUAUAUAAAAUGUCUAUCAUAUAUUGUGAAAUGUAUAUUUCAUUUAGGUAGUAUUAAAUUAUAAUUGAUGCAUUUAGCGGAUACAAUUAUUCAGCUAUUUAUGUGUUAAUUCAUAGGUUUAAUUAGAUAUGACUCAAAUAAUAUUAUCAAAAUAAUUUGAAUAAUAUAAUUUCAUUAAAUAAAGGAUUUAUUUAGUUAAAAAGGGUUAUAUUUGUUAGAUAUGUUUGAUAUAAUUUUUUUUUUUUUUUAAAUUUAAAUACUAAUAGUAUUACCUACCGUGUACUAAUGAAUCAGCAGACCUCGCGAGUAUCCACUGGCGCUAUAAAAGGCGAUCGGAAUAAAUUAAGAACAUGUAAAAAAUACCCAAAUUUUAUACUGUUUUCUGUAUUAUAUUCAUAUAUCUCUGAUAUUACAAAUAAUAUAGUAUUAUCCGUUUGUUAUAUUAUAUCCCAUUUUUUUUAUUUCUAGGUUGCGUUUACAUUUUUGUAUUUAAAUACUACCACGGCAUAAUAGAUCGUAAGUCAUUUUUCAUACAUUACGUAUUAAAUAAAUCUGAGACACUAAAAAAACAAGUUUAGACCAUAUGUAAUUAAAUAACAAAUGGAAAAUUAAUAUGUCAAUUUGUGGUAUAAUGCAAAUAUUAGCGCUGCAGAAAUCCAUAAAUCUACAGCAUUGUGAUAAAUUUACCGUAGGUAUGUACACUUUACUCAUGUUAUAGGUACAGGUAUCUAUAACAUGGUUAAUAAUACAAAAAAGACUGAAAUGGAAUAAAAAUUGUUAAUGAUUAAUCUAUCUUUUAGUUCAAUUCCGUAUAAAAAAAAAUUGAAUUUUAUUUUUUGUAUUCGGUUUACUUUUAUAUGAUGUAUGUUGUUUUUCUAUCUGUGAAUAAUUUUUCUACCAAAAACCUUAUUCUGAUUAUCGAGUGAAGAAUCUUUUCUAAAAAAAAUUUUGUCUAUUUGAUGCUUCGUGUAAGUCAUUUUUUAAUUUUUCUUGUGUUGUUUUAGUAAUUAGUAAAUCAUGAAAAUUAACGUAAUAGCGGUUUCUAUUACUUUGUUUUAUUUUUUUGUUGUAGUUAGGCUAGAAAUAAUUAUAGAUAGUUGAUAUUUACCAAAUAAUUAUAUUAGUAAUUUGUAAGUGAGGUACAAUUGUCUCAACUUUCUAUACAUUUUUAAGCUGCUUAUAGCUAUUUGAAAUCAUAGUUUUUCUUUGUUUUUAUUUGGAUUUAUGUAGAUAAAAUUCUUUAUACAUUUUUAAUUAAUACUAUUAGUUUAUACAACUUAUAGUAGAGCUCGGAAAUUUAAUACUAAAAACUACAAAAAAGCGCUUAAACCCAUCAAAAAAGCAAUUUAAAAUUUAAAAAAAUGGAAGAUGGGUUCUUCAACAAAAAUUGUUUUGAAUUAAAUUCUAAGUAUUAUAAAAAAAAAAUAACUGUGAAUCAUUUUUUUUAGUGUUAAAAUAUAUUAUUUUAUAAGUUCAAGCAAAUAGAGAAAAAACCUUAAAAUUCGUUUUUGCUUUUAUAAAUUUUGAAAUGUUUUUUUGACGUUUUUUAGGGAUUUUUUCGUAGAUUUUAAAUGCUAUCAGUCCCUAGUCCUAUUUAUAAGUUAUAAUUUAUAAAUGUCCUAUGUUUCAGUGGAUUGGAGACAACGUGUACCGUAUAAAAAGUACAAUUUAGGGACAGAUCAUAUAAUUAAAUUAUUACAUUUUUAUUUCCAACAUUUUUAGGAGGUAAUUUAAAUAAUUUAAAGUAAAUUAACGUAUUAUUGUCUAGUUUAAAGGUCUCAACCUAAAUUUACACAGUCUCCAAUCCUUUUAAUCCUCCUAAUCCUAUACCUGCUAUACCUAUUAGAUGCAUGAGUACAUAAUAUAGUCUUGAUAAAUAAUAAUAUUAAUGGUACCUUACUAAACCUACAUUAUUCGUAAAAUAUAGUUGAUUAUUAACAACUAGAUAUAAGAAUAAGAGAAGAGAAUGUAAAAAAUAACAUAAAUAUAUUUCAAUUAUUUUUUAGACGAUAUUGAUGAUACAAGAAAGUGGUGUAAAAUGAAUUGUACGUAACUACUGUACGGUUUUUGAUUUCUUCUACUCGAAAUUAACGUGAAAUUUAUUUUAUUUUAUCGAAAUUAUUUUCUAUAAUUAUAGUAUAAUAUUAUUGUUACUAAUAGUAUUGUUUAAUAA